RNAcentral lists this unclassified non-coding RNA (205 nucleotides) under Hevea brasiliensis (rubber tree). The record is from RNAcentral. Lineage: Eukaryota; Viridiplantae; Streptophyta; Magnoliopsida; Malpighiales; Euphorbiaceae.
GCCAUGAUGAUGGCUUCCUUUGUUGCUCUGUAGAGUCCACUGGUGCAUUUAUUGCGGUUUCAAGGUAUGCAAGUGCGACCCCAAUCCCACCUUCUGUUCUUAGCCGUGGCAUUGGCUGGCAGGGAGUUGCCAUUUUGCUUUCUGGUUUGUUUGGAACUGUGAAUGGAUCCUCAGUUUCUGUAGAGAAUGCUGGCCUUUUGGCCUU